This 1099-nucleotide long non-coding RNA is filed under the name Capsicum annuum. RNAcentral describes it as "long non-coding RNA (CANN_LNC011376)". Lineage: Eukaryota; Viridiplantae; Streptophyta; Magnoliopsida; Solanales; Solanaceae. The record is from RNAcentral.
UCCUGGCCUUUAGGCCUUAAGCCUGAUUGUAGUCUCGAGCCUGAGGCGAGGGGGUGGGGGUCCUAAGAGUGGUCUCGGGCUAAGAUGAGGGUGCCGUAUGCCUGCUCAAGCAUGUCUGGGGCCUAAGGCGGGGACAUGGUCCGUGGUGAGCUGGGGUCGCGUGGUCUUAAGAGUGGUCUCGGGCUAAGAUGAGGAUACCCUAGGCCUACUCGAGCAUGUCUGGGGCCUAAGGCGGGGACAUGGUCCAUGGUGAGCUGGGGUCGCGUGGUCGUAGGCCUAAGAAGAGGGUGAGGGGUCCUAGCCUUGAGUUUGGUCUCGGGCCUUGUGAUGAUGGGGGAAGGGGGUGGUGGGCCUUAGGCCUGAUUAUAGUCUCGAGCCUGAGGCCUAAGAAGAGGGUGAAGGGGUCCUAGCCUUGAGUUUGGUCUUGGGCCUUGUGAUGAUGGGGGAAGGGGGUGGUGGGCCUUAGGCCUGAUUGUAGUCUCGAGCCUGAGGCGAUAGGGUGAUGGGAUCUUGGACCUGACUGUGGUCUCGGGCAUAAGAUGAGGGUGAGAGAGGGAGGGUCCCGAGCUCAAGUGUGGUCUCUUGGGUGUUCCUAGCCUUAAGUUCGGUCUCGGGCUUAGGAUAGGGGAGGGGGUCUUAGGCCCGAUUGUAGUCUCGAGCCUAGGGUGAGGGGUAGGAUCUUGGGCCUGACAGUGGGAUCUUAGGUCUAAGAUGAGGGUAAGAAAAGUGGGGUCCUGAGCUUAAGACUGGUCUCUUGGGGGGUCCUAGCCUUGAGUUAGGCCCGAUUGUAGUCUCAAGCCUAGGGUGAGGGUGAGAGAGGUGGGGGGUCCUAGCCUUGAGUUUGGUCUCGGGCUUAGGAUGUGGGAAAGGGGGUCUUAGACCUGAUUGUAGUCUUGAGCCUGGGGCGAUGGAGUGGAAUCCUGGGCCUGACAGUGGUCUCGAGCCUAAGAUGGGGGUUAGGGAGGUGGGGUCCUGAGCCUAAGCGUGGUCUUGUGCCUAGGUGCAGGGGUGAGGCUUAAGCAUGUGUAGUCUUGAGCCUGGGGCGAGGGAGUGGAAUCCUGGGCCUGACAGUGGUCUCGAGCCUAAGCGUGGUCUCUUG